Molecule: non-coding RNA, 73 nt
Organism: Mayamaea pseudoterrestris
Lineage: Eukaryota; Bacillariophyta; Bacillariophyceae; Sellaphorales; Sellaphoraceae
Source: the annotation of a GenBank genome assembly
GGGGUAUUAGCUCAGUGGUAUGAGCGCCCGCUUUGCAUGCGGGAGGUCCGCGGUUCGAUCCCGUGAUACUCCA